RNAcentral lists this ribosomal RNA (619 nucleotides) under uncultured Vagococcus sp. Its description in RNAcentral is "bacterial SSU rRNA". It matches the Rfam family "Bacterial small subunit ribosomal RNA", at positions 1 to 622 of the family's 1533-position model. Lineage: Bacteria; Bacillati; Bacillota; Bacilli; Lactobacillales; Enterococcaceae. The record is from RNAcentral.
CGCCCUUAGAGUUUGAUCAUGGCUCAGGACGAACGCUGGCGGCGUGCCUAAUACAUGCAAGUCGAACGCAGCUUGCUUUGGUAAGAUGAGUGGCGAACGGGUGAGUAACACGUGGGUAACCUGCCUAUCAGAGGGGGAUAACACUUGGAAACAGGUGCUAAUACCGCAUAGAUUUCUUUCGCAUGAAAAGAGAGGAAAGACGUACAUGUCACUGAUAGAUGGACCCGCGGUGCAUUAGCUAGUUGGUGAGGUAACGGCUCACCAAGGCCAUGAUGCAUAGCCGACCUGAGAGGGUGAUCGGCCACACUGGGACUGAGACACGGCCCAGACUCCUACGGGAGGCAGCAGUAGGGAAUCUUCGGCAAUGGACGAAAGUCUGACCGAGCAACGCCGCGUGAGUGAAGAAGGUUUUCGGAUCGUAAAACUCUGUUGUUAGAGAAGAAUAGGUAGGGAUGACUUCCUGCCAUGACGGUAUCUAACCAGAAAGCCACGGCUAACUACGUGCCAGCAGCCGCGGUAAUACGUAGGUGGCAAGCGUUGUCCGGAUUUAUUGGGCGUAAAGCGAGCGCAGGCGGUUUCUUAAGUCUGAUGUGAAAGCCCCCGGCUUAACCGGGGAGGG